GGGGCUGAGGCUCAGCAGUAGAGUACUUGCCUGGCAUGUAUGAGGCCCUGGGUUCAAUUCUCAGCACCA
This 69-nucleotide transfer RNA is filed under the name Ictidomys tridecemlineatus (thirteen-lined ground squirrel). RNAcentral describes it as "Spermophilus tridecemlineatus (thirteen-lined ground squirrel) tRNA". It matches the Rfam family "tRNA". From Rfam's summary of the family: Transfer RNA (tRNA) molecules are approximately 80 nucleotides in length. Their secondary structure includes four short double-helical elements and three loops (D, anti-codon, and T loops). Further hydrogen bonds mediate the characteristic L-shaped molecular structure. tRNAs have two regions of fundamental functional importance: the anti-codon, which is responsible for specific mRNA codon recognition, and the 3' end, to which the tRNAs corresponding amino acid is attached (by aminoacyl-tRNA synthetases). tRNAs cope with the degeneracy of the genetic code in two manners: having more than one tRNA (with a specific anti-codon) for a particular amino acid; and 'wobble' base-pairing, i.e. permitting non-standard base-pairing at the 3rd anti-codon position. Lineage: Eukaryota; Metazoa; Chordata; Mammalia; Rodentia; Sciuridae. The record is from Rfam by way of RNAcentral.